CAGGCAAGAGGUCUCCGAGGCGCAAACGUCGGUCGAAGGAUAACCCAAAAGGCAAGGUCGGUAUUCAGGCAAAAGGUCGAUAAUCAUAAGGAGCUACAGAGAUUAAGGAGGAGGGAGACGGGACUAGGAGAGGACUGCGGGAUCGGGAAGGAGUGGAGGCAAUACAGCACUGCAGGCAUCGUCCCCUUUAUUCCAAAGAGCUGCGCCUUGUCAGGAAGAAGGAAAUGGCAGGAAGAGACACGAGCAAAAGAAAUUACAUUCAUAAACACGUUUUUUCCAGGAGUUUAACAGAACUCACUCAGUGAAUAAACUGAGGUGCAUCUCUGCUGUUACA
This 334-nucleotide long non-coding RNA is filed under the name Scleropages formosus (Asian bonytongue). RNAcentral describes it as "lncRNA (ENSSFOG00015027149.1)". Lineage: Eukaryota; Metazoa; Chordata; Actinopteri; Osteoglossiformes; Osteoglossidae. The record is from RNAcentral.